GAUGAAGAACGCAGCGAAAUGCGAUAAGUAAUGUGAAUUGCAGAAUUCAGUGAAUCAUCGAAUCUUUGAACGCACAUUGCGCCCUCUUGUAUUCCGGGGGGCAUGCCUGUUCGAGCGUCAUUAUAACCACUCAAGCUUUCGCUUGGUAUUGGGGCUCGCGGUUCCGCGGCCCCUAAAAUCAGUGGCGGUGCCUGUCGGCUCUACGCGUAGUAAUACUCCUCGCGAUUGAGUCCGGUAGGUCUACUUGCCAGCAACCCCCAAUUUUUACAGGUUGACCUCGGAUCAGGUAGGGAUACCCGCUGAACUUAAGCAUAUCAAUAAGCGGAGGA
Molecule: unclassified non-coding RNA, 329 nt
Filed under: soil metagenome
Description: partial contains 5.8S ribosomal RNA, internal transcribed spacer 2, and large subunit ribosomal RNA
Rfam family: 5.8S ribosomal RNA (bases 1-120)
Source: RNAcentral